RNAcentral lists this ribosomal RNA (253 nucleotides) under uncultured bacterium. Its description in RNAcentral is "partial 16S ribosomal RNA". It matches the Rfam family "Bacterial small subunit ribosomal RNA", at positions 524 to 776 of the family's 1533-position model. The record is from RNAcentral.
UACGUAGGAUGCAAGCGUUGUCCGGAUUUACUGGGCGUAAAGGGCUCGUAGGCGGCCAACUAAGUCAUACGUGAAAUCCCUCGGCUUAACCGGGGAACUGCGUCUGAUACUGGAUGGCUUGAGUUCGGGAGAGGGAUGCGGAAUUCCAGGUGUAGCGGUGAAAUGCGUAGAUAUCUGGAGGAACACCGGUGGCGAAGGCGGCAUCCUGGACCGAUACUGACGCUGAGGAGCGAAAGCCAGGGGAGCAAACGGG